AUUUAAGUAGUUUAAUGUUUAAAAUAUUGAUUUGUGGUAUCAAAGAUAUAAUAAAUUUAUUGUCUUAGAUU
RNAcentral lists this transfer RNA (71 nucleotides) under Melanozosteria nitida. RNAcentral describes it as "tRNA-His". The record is from RNAcentral. Lineage: Eukaryota; Metazoa; Arthropoda; Insecta; Blattodea; Blattidae.